GUUACAGCUCUGGAGGGAAAGGUACCCCGGCCAUAUCUGUUCUGGUGCGGCAUGGGUUCCCCACAGGAACGUAGCAACCCUGCUCCUCCCUGAGAGAGGGGUUACUGCUCAGCCCUGCUCCAUCUCCUAAGGGGUUCCCUGCAAGAAAGGCAGCAGUUUGCUCCUGCAAAGGUUGUUACUUCCCUGCCCUGCUCCACUCUGGUGAAAGAUUGUCUUUAUGUAAACAUGAUUCAAGAGAUUUAUUGAGAGGGAGGAAUCCAGGAGAGUGACCAGACUGCCUCUGCCAUGGUGGAAAAGGCAGCUCCCAACCCAGCAGAUGCAGGGCUUAUGUAGGAUUUCUUAGGGGAUGGAAGGUUUCCAGUGUGAAGAUUUUCAGGGCGGGAAUUGGUCAAAUUUCAAUCCUUGAGCUUCGAUAAGCUCAGAGAUUGGCCAGUUUUCAUGCUCAGGGAUUGGAUGGUUUUCUUGCUGAGUUGGUCAGGGGCAGAGUGUGUUAGUGAAUUGGCUCUGGUUUCAGGGCCAGUGAGUUGGCUCUGGUUUCAGGGCCAGUGAGUUGGCUCUGGUUUCAGGGUCAGUGUGUGUUUCUUUGAUUGACCCUUUUACCCUACAGCGUGGGCCCAGUAGAAGAAAAGGGAAAAGGGAUUUGAAGACACGAGGGUAUGCUUCCUGUGUUAAGGGCCAAUGUUUACAGGAACAUGGAUGUUUCUGAGAAAUGUUAGCUCACAGGACCUAGUUCAGGGAGGUGCUGGAGAGAUGGCGGGCACACAGGGCGGUGAAACACACCCAGGCUCUGACCUCCGACACUGGGGGCGAGUUUAAAGCGUUUUCAGUAGGGAGAAGCAAUGCAUUGCAGAGUGACUCAUCUCUCCCUUGUAGCAUAGGAGGUCCGCAGCAGGUAGAGAGGUUGCUGCUGCAGUGAGGGUCACGUGAGAGGCGACAUAAAUCAGGCAAUGAGGGGCACACGGAAGGACCACGCCAGAGCUGACCAUGCACCUUGGCCUCUGCCCUCAGCUUUCCUCUUGGAUGCUCUGUCUGUGACGGGUCUUCACAGGGUACAGCCACAGGAGCUAGUUCAUAGCUCUCGGCAGCAUCUCCUCCAUAUCUUUCUACCUGCUUGGUGUUUUUAUCCGGAAGCUCAGCAUCACUUCAAUGACUCAAGCCCAGGAAAGAGAAGCCUCCGGAAUCUUUCUCUAAAUCAAGGCACCGUUCGGGUUUCCUGUUCCCCUUGAUGCGAAAAUAGCAGAGCAGAUGUGGCUAAUCCUCCGGGAGAAAAUUUCCUUUUAGCUGAUAUCACACGUAAAUGCUGGGACCUGAAGGGGAUGCUGAGAGAAUUCUGGCUCGGAAAAACAUUUCUUUAAUGAGUGAUUGGCGCAUGUGGGCCACAGUGAUGGGCGGGCUCACUACUUGCUAGUUCUUCGUUCAGACACGUUCCUUACUGGUUUUGUACGGCAGUGUUUGUGGACUAGAAGCAAUCACAGCAUUUUUUCCCCGCGGCUGAUACUUUCUUCUUGGAAGGUACCCUGCUUCUUUGGUGGCUCUCAGUUAACUGGAGUGGUUUGUUCUGGAGCCUUUGAGUAGCGGUCCAAUUACCAAUUGAUAUUAAUAUGUGAGUUCCAUCCGGUGGCCGCUGAUGUCCUGGCUCUAGAACUCAGGACACAUCCCAUUCUCUACUUGCCUGUUUGUACCACACAGCCUCCUGUAUGUUCUCAAGGCUUCCUCCUCUGUGGGGGAGCUGAGAAACCCUACCUCAUUUCUGUGCCCUCUUUGUCUUUCUGUCAGCUAGAUUUGAGGCUGUUGGGAGGCUCAGGUCACAAAUCCCGAGGUGCAACUGUCUCAUUUCCCAUGUUCAUCCUCAUCCUACUGGGACCCACGUCCAGUCAUCCUUGGGUCUUGUCUCCCUGACCAUCCUCCCGCCUGCUGUGUACAGUUCCUUCACCACAUUUGAGACUCCCAAGCCUAACAGGUCCCCUGCCGCUCCAGAAUGUUUGUUCCCAGUGAGCACUGACCACUUAGGUGCUUACAGAGAGAAACUGGACCUUCUGUGUCUGUCCUGAGAGACCAGCUUGUCUAGCCUGCUUGGCCACAGGGAUCAUUAUUAUGUAAAAGGGCUUUCUUUAGCAAUUCCUCUGCUGUCUGUCUGAUCCUCUUCUGUCUCUGGUGUUCCCGGGAACAAAGUGUGUAUAGUCUACAAAACAGAAGACCGAACUCUAAUGCCAGCUGGGCCCAGCAGGUGCUCAAAUCUUUGUUUAUUGCUGCUGAACGCCAACCCUGGGACAAUAGUGAGCCCAAACAUACCACCUCUCAGCCCUGACCUCAUGACCUUGACAGUCAGGCCAGUCAAAACCGGGCAGGAGAAAGCCAGGCUGGAAGGACAUUGCUCAAGGCAGCUUUGACACCUGUGAGGUCGCCCCGCCCCCCCGUGCUGGUGGUGAUAGUCGUGCACUAGUGUGCCCAGAAAGGAGAACUAGAGGAAACUGGUGUGUGCGUGGUACUGAGGCCUCCUUAAUUUACAGAUCCUAAGUGGCAGGGGACAGAGGCUACUCUUGCUGGCCUCUCGGUACAGUUCCCAACGGAAGAGAAGCACAUAGCCGGUAGUCCUGCAGAGCCUAAGGGAAGGAAUGAAACUAAAACCCAAAUCUUGUGCGGCUGUAAGAGCAGGCAGGACCCCUGGACUGGGGUGACCCUCUCACAUCCCCUUCGUGUGCUGUGCAGUCUGGAGGGAUGGUGUGCGUCCGGGAUUGGGGGAGAGCUGCCGAGCCUGAUAUACCUGACACAAAUGUGUCCAGUUGUCCAAAGAAGCUUGCUUUUGAACAUGAGGAAACCCACUACCGUUGAAGGUGGCAACCACAGACCGUCCCGCAUCUUUUCUUAUUUUCCCAAAUCUUCAGCUUUCACACGGUUCAGCCUGGUUCACAGUUGUUGGCGAACCCAAAGUAGAGCGGCACCUAGACAACGCCUUUCACCUCCAGGAAACCAUUAGAGAAAGUGUUUACCAUGGGAAUGGGUGUGUGCAUGUGCACGGGUGUGUGUGUGUGUGUGUGUGUGUGUGUAUCUCCUCCCUGAUAUCUGUGUAUCUGAGUCUGACAUGCUUCUCAUUUUCACCAUGGAAAGCUGUUUACAGAAACAAAAUAGAAGAGAAUAAAAGAUAAAGUAAAAUCUGUCUGAAAGCCCUCAUCUGAAGUUAACUGAUAGGUAAGUUGGUGAGCGUUCUUCGAGUGUGUGUGUGUGUGUGUGUGUGUGUGUGUGCGCGCGCGCGCGUGUGUAAAAUACAGUUUUCCAGAGAGAAAAGCCCUGUAGACAGUCCUUUGCAAUACCAUUGUCCUCUUCCAUUUUGACAGACUGUAGAGAUUCUUUCCAUGACAGUGAAUAUGGAGCGCCAUCAUUCUUGUUAAUGGCUACAUAGGACUCUAUUGUGUGGCCAUCCCAUGAUUAAUUUAACCUAUCCCUUACAAUCCACAUUCAUCCACAUUCAUUCAGCAGCAUAAUUAUCCAUUUAAUCACCUGUCUCUGUCUAGGCUGUGUGCUCAUUGAACACAGGGACAUAUCUAAAGCCCACAGGCAAACAGUGGGCACCCAAUAAAUGUUCACACGCACAGAUGGGUAAGUUACUGAGAAGGGGAGAAAGGGGUUCUGCUUCGUCAGCGCUGUGGAUUGUUUCUGGCUACACCUAUGUUUUGAAGGACAGCCCAUUAACCCAGGGCUGUUGAGGGCACUGUAGUGAUUUUACAGCUGACAGUUGCUGUGUUCUCAGUGCGGUGACUUUAAAUCCCUGUGCUACGAAGAAGAAUUAAUUCAUGAUCUUCCGGAAGAAAAGUCCUUGGUUUCCUGAGCCCAUGGGCUGCUUUGUGUGCAGCGAUAGCCUCUCACCGGCUCAUGUCUUCCGAAUCCACAAAGACUGGGAGAGAGAGGCCUUUUUACAUCUAGGAAAACGAGGGCUGGCUUUUUGUGGGGGACACCAGGGGUGAUGACCUCACUGUCUUUCAGAGUUCUAGGCAGGAUACCUUAGUCCUUUAUCUCCAGUAAGGAAUAUGACCCAAAGGAAAGAUGUAAACAAAACUCAACUGCCUCUAAGAUAUUAGAUGAAAAGAAAUUAGAUACUGGUCACUUGCUUCAGGGGGAGGGAAGGAUGUUAGGCUUCUGUUCCAAGCCUUCUCUGUGUCCUUAGCUAUUGUCACAGCCCCUGUGCUCCCUAGUUUUGUGUCAACUUGACACAAGGUAGGGUCAUCUGGAAAGGAGGAAUCUCCUUUGAGAAAAUGCUUCCACAGGAGUGACCUAUGUGGGUCAAUCUGCAGGCUGUGGUAGGGCAAGUCUGUAGGGCAUUUGACUAAUUGAUAGUUAACGUGGAAGGGCCCACCCUUUGUGAGUGGUGCCAGUCUUGGGCAGGAGGUCAUGGGUUCUAUAAGAAAGCAGGCUGAGCAAGCUUCGAAGAGAAAUCCAGUAAGCAGCAUCCUCCACGGCCUCUGCUUCAACUCCCGCCUCCAGGUUCCUGCCCUGACUUCCCUCAGAGGUGGAGUGUGACCUGGGAGCAAGCUGAAGGAAACCCUUUCCUCAGGGUGACGGUGUGUCAUCACAGCAAUGGAAACCCCAGGGAAGACAGCCUUCUAGUGCUUAGCACCUCGAACAAAUUCAAAAUCUUCGUCUUUGGAAGAAAAGUAACUGAAGAGUUAAGACCUCACUUUUCUCGUGUGCAAAAUGGAGCCCCCUUUCUGGCCUCUGAGAAGGAGUGCAGACUGAUAAAUUCCUGUCUGCAGUGUGGCAUCAGCUGCAGUUCCCGAGGACCUGUAGACACGCUGCCAGUCGAUGCUUCUGCUGCUGUCCUUGCUGCUGGCAUUGCUGCAGCGUCACCAUGGCCUGUCCACUGCAGCUGCUCUUAGUCAUUCAGUCCUGCAUCUCUGCAGCAGCCAAGGCUGAGCAGGUCCCUGGCUGUGCUCUGCCACUGCUGAGGCAGAGGCGUUCUCCCUCACUUUAAAUCUGCUCCUCACUUGUAGGCCUCUCUCUAUAUGUUCUUUAUUUAUUAAGGCUAUGAACCCAUUGGUUUAUGCUUAUCUCAUAGACAUUUUCCAAGUUUAUCAUUUUGGCUCCUAUGGAGAAUAUUUUCAUAUAACUUCUAUUGGUAUAUCUUUAUUGUUCACAGUGACAGGGUUCAUGAAGAUAUUUUGGUAUAAACAAAUUGUGUACUUUGACCUAACUUACCACCCCUCCUAUACUAUUCCUCACCCCCUCCUGGUAUUCUCAGUCCAUUGCUUCUGCUUUCAUGUUAACACAUAGGAGCUAUGUAAAGAGGAAAGGUCAAGUUGGGUGAGUGCUUCUUUUAUGACAUCCCACCUUCCUAAUUUGCAGCUUUUGAUUGUGUAAAGAUGGCUGCUUUGAGACAGCGUCUCACUACUUCAUCCACGAUGGCCUUGAGCUCUUCCCAUCCUCUUGUGAGGAUCCCACGUGCUACAGUCACAAGCAUA
This is a non-coding RNA of Myodes glareolus (Bank vole), 5453 nucleotides long. Lineage: Eukaryota; Metazoa; Chordata; Mammalia; Rodentia; Cricetidae. The record is from RefSeq and is a predicted model, not a curated record.